This 768-nucleotide long non-coding RNA is filed under the name Nicotiana benthamiana. Its description in RNAcentral is "long non-coding RNA (NBEN_LNC017331)". The record is from RNAcentral. Lineage: Eukaryota; Viridiplantae; Streptophyta; Magnoliopsida; Solanales; Solanaceae.
GCCCCAUACAACAUCGCAGGUCUAACCAGGGCUCUAUAGAAUUUCCCCUUGAGUUUGUGUGGAACUUUCUUGUCACCCGGGACUCCUGAUGCAAGCCUCCACUUAGACCACCCCACUCCUAUAUGAUGAGUGACGUCCCCGUAAUCUCUCCGUCCCCCUGAAUCACAGACCCCAGAUAUCGGACACUGUCCCUCUUGGCGAUGGCCUGAGAACCAAUCAUCACGUCCCUGCCUACUUCGCUCGGCUCGGCGCUAAACUUGCACUCCAGGUACUCAGCAACCUUCAUUCUCUGAACAUGGGAGUUCUUCACGGGCCAGCACUCCGCCCCAUACAACAUCGCAGGUCUAACCAGGGCUCUAUAGAAUUUCCCCUUGAGUUUGUGUGGAACUUUCUUGUCACCCGGGACUCCUGAUGCAAGCCUCCACUUAGACCACCCCACUCCUAUAUGAUGAGUGACGUCCCCGUAAUCUCUCCGUCCCCCUGAAUCACAGACCCCAGAUAUCGGACACUGUCCCUCUUGGCGAUGGCCUGAGAACCAAUCAGCACAUCCCUGCCUACUUCGCUCGGCUCGGCACUAAACUUGCACUCCAGGUACUCUGUCUCAGAUCUGCUUAUUUUGAAACCUUUAGACUCGAGAUUCUGUCUCCAUACCUCUAACCUUUCAUUAACACCGACCCUCGUCUCAUCUAUCAAUACUAUGUCAUCAGCAAAUAGCAUACACCAAGGCACAUCCCCUUGAAUAUGUCGGGUUAGAGAAUCUAUCACUAA